AUUGAACGCUGGCGGCAUGCCUUACACAUGCAAGUCGAACGGUAACGGGUCCUUCGGGAUGCCGACGAGUGGCGAACGGGUGAGUAAUAUAUCGGAACGUGCCCAGUAGUGGGGGAUAACUGCUCGAAAGAGCAGCUAAUACCGCAUACGACCUGAGGGUGAAAGGGGGGGAUCGCAAGACCUCUCGCUAUUGGAGCGGCCGAUAUCAGAUUAGCUAGUUGGUGGGGUAAAGGCCUACCAAGGCAACGAUCUGUAGUUGGUCUGAGAGGACGACCAGCCACACUGGGACUGAGACACGGCCUAGACUCCUACGGGAGGCAGCAGUGGGGAAUUUUGGACAAUGGGCGCAAGCCUGAUCCAGCAAUGCCGCGUGCAGGAAGAAGGCCUUCGGGUUGUAAACUGCUUUUGUCAGGGAAGAAAUCUUCUGGGCUAGUACCCCGGGAGGAUGACGGUACCUGAAGAAUAAGCACCGGCUAACUACGUGCCAGCAGCCGCGGUAAUACGUAGGGUGCGAGCGUUAAUCGGAAUUACUGGGCGUAAAGCGUGCGCAGGCGGCUUUGCAAGACAGAUGUGAAAUCCCCGGGCUCAACCUGGGAACUGCAUUUGUGACUGCAAGGCUAGAGUACGGCAGAGGGGGAUGGAAUUCCGCGUGUAGCAGUGAAAUGCGUAGAUAUGCGGAGGAACACCAAUGGCGAAGGCAAUCCCCUGGACCUGUACUGACGCUCAUGCACGAAAGCGUGGGGAGCAAGCAGGAUUAGAUACCCUGGUAGUCCACGCCCUAAACGAUGUCAACUGGUUGUUGGACGGCUUGCUGUUCAGUAACGAAGCUAACGCGUGAAGUUGACCGCCUGGGGAGUACGGCCGCAAGGUUGAAACUCAAAGGAAUUGACGGGGACCCGCACAAGCGGUGGAUGAUGUGGUUUAAUUCGAUGCAACGCGAAAAACCUUACCUACCCUUGACAUGUCAAGAAUUCUGCAGAGAUGUGGAAGUGCUCGAAAGAGAACUUGAACACAGGUGCUGCAUGGCCGUCGUCAGCUCGUGUCGUGAGAUGUUGGGUUAAGUCCCGCAACGAGCGCAACCCUUGUCAUUAGUUGCUACGCAAGAGCACUCUAAUGAGACUGCCGGUGACAAACCGGAGGAAGGUGGGGAUGACGUCAGGUCCUCAUGGCCCUUAUGGGUAGGGCUACACACGUCAUACAAUGGCCGGUACAGAGGGCUGCCAACCCGCGAGGGGGAGCCAGUCCCAGAAAACCGGUCGUAGUCCGGAUCGUAGUCUGCAACUCGACUGCGUGAAGUCGGAAUCGCUAGUAAUCGCGGAUCAGCUUGCCGCGGUGUAUACGUUCCCGGGUCU
This 1352-nucleotide ribosomal RNA is filed under the name uncultured bacterium. RNAcentral's name for it is "bacterial SSU rRNA". It matches the Rfam family "Bacterial small subunit ribosomal RNA", at positions 28 to 1381 of the family's 1533-position model. The record is from RNAcentral.